RNAcentral lists this long non-coding RNA (525 nucleotides) under Rattus norvegicus (Norway rat). Its description in RNAcentral is "long non-coding RNA NONRATT011086". The record is from RNAcentral. Lineage: Eukaryota; Metazoa; Chordata; Mammalia; Rodentia; Muridae.
UCAAGCGAGCUGUGCUGCCUCCAGCUCUGCGCCGCCCGCCGCCCCUCCCGUAGUCCCGCGGCUUUCGAGGGAGCGCUGCGGAGACUCGGGGCCGCCGGGGAAACCUGUGACCCCGCGCAGGAGCGGCGGGGCGGGGGACCGGGAGAAGAUGGCGACGCCGGGAAGCGAACCCCAAGCUUUCGCGCCCGCCCUCUCGGUAACCGCCCUGCACCCGCAUAUCCACCAGCACCACCAGCACCACGGAAGCACGGGCAGCGCGGGCUUCAACCUGCCCUUGAACCGUGGUUUGGAGCGCGCGCUAGAGGAGGCAGCCAAUUCUGGGGGCUUGAACCUGAGCGCCAGGAAGCUGAAGGAAUUUCCCAGGACUGCAGCCCCGGGACAUGACCUCUCGGACACGGUUCAGGCAGGGGCUGAUUCUCAUGGACUUGAGGUUGCUCAUAACAAGAGCACACAAUGCCCAUCCUAAGUCUAAACGCGGAAGCACGACACUGGGUCUGAUGAGAAGAAAUGUAUGAAGUUGUGUCA